This 27-nucleotide non-coding RNA is filed under the name Homo sapiens (human). Lineage: Eukaryota; Metazoa; Chordata; Mammalia; Primates; Hominidae. The record is from RNAcentral.
UGGAAAAGGUGACUGCGAAGCAAAAGC